This 468-nucleotide ribosomal RNA is filed under the name uncultured bacterium. RNAcentral describes it as "partial 16S ribosomal RNA". It matches the Rfam family "Bacterial small subunit ribosomal RNA", at positions 28 to 507 of the family's 1533-position model. The record is from RNAcentral.
GACGAACGCUGGCGGCGUGCUUAACACAUGCAAGUCGAACGGAAAGGCCCUGCUUUUGUGGGGUUCUCGAUUGGCGAACGGGUGAGUAACACGUGAGUAACCUGCCCUUGACUUUGGGAUAACUUCAGGAAACUGGGGCUAAUACCGGAUAGGAUCUCCUGCUCCAGGGUGGGGGUUGGAAAGUUUCGGCGGUUGGGGUUGGACUCGCGGCUUACCAGCUGGUUGGUGGGGUUGUUGCUUACCAAGGCUUUGAAGGGUACCCGGCCUGAGAGGGUGACCGGGGACCUUGGGACUGCGAUACGGCGCAGACUCGUACGGGAGGCAGCAGUGGGGAAUAUUGCACAGUGGGCGGAAGCGUGAUGCAGCAACGCCGCGAGCGGGAUGACGGCCUUCGGGUUGUAAACCGCUUUCGCCUGUGACGAAGCGUGAGUGACGGUAAUGGGUAAAGAAGCACCGGCUAACUACGUG